Long non-coding RNA from Syzygium oleosum, 697 nucleotides. RefSeq lists it as uncharacterized. The record is from RefSeq and is a predicted model, not a curated record. The transcript is spliced from 2 exons. NCBI's taxonomy places the organism in Eukaryota, Viridiplantae, Streptophyta, Magnoliopsida, Myrtales, Myrtaceae.
CCGGACGUGAGAUUGCUCCUCAUUGUAGAGGCGAAGAAGAAGGGGUACGUGCCACUGCGGGCUAGCUUCCUUGUUAACAUCUUGGACUUUGGCGGAAGCUUUUCCCAUGAUUUUUUGUUGGUUCUCGAAUUACUGGCGGGGAUAGAGCAUUCACCUGAAGUGGAAGGAACUCGAUAUUAGCUUUCUGUUUGCAUCUGCCGAUUCAAAGUGCUUGUUCUCACGCACGCAAUCUUCUCAUUUUUGAGCAUACUGUGACGCAUAUCGAAAUCUACGGUGGAAACGGAUUUAUUGCGCCUCAACCCUUCCGUUCCAGCAUUCUACUCACCAUCCAAGACUAAGGAAUGGUUUAGUCGGUUUGAGUACAGACACAAAUGAAGGCGUUUCACCGACUGGAUAGCACUCAAUGAAAUCUUUGCCCAAAGUUCGUUUCGCUAACUGUUCAUAUUCUGCUUUAUGGAAUCAAAGAGGUAUAGCUCUGGAUUCUAGAGUCGCUGGUUGGCAAAGUUUAAAGGGUGAGUAGAUUUGUUUCUGCUGCUACUUUUGACUAGUUGUUUAAGAGGCGGGUAAUGAUCAUGGGGGUGUAAUCAGAAUUUAGAAAGAAUCUCUUCUGAAGGAUUGGCAAAUUGUCCGCACUGCUUGUUCAUUUCUAGCAUUGUAUCAAAGCACAUAUCAAUGAUUUAAAAUUUCUCGUCUGUUA